UACGUAGGGUGCGAGCGUUGUCCGGAAUUAUUGGGCGUAAAGAGCUCGUAGGCGGUUUGUUGCGUCGGCCGUGAAAACUUGGGGCUUAACUCCGAGCUUGCGGUCGAUACGGGCAGACUUGAGUUCGGCAGGGGAGACUGGAAUUCCUGGUGUAGCGGUGAAAUGCGCAGAUAUCAGGAGGAACACCGGUGGCGAAGGCGGGUCUCUGGGCCGAUACUGACGCUGAGGCACGAAAGCGUGGGGAGCAAACAGG
This 253-nucleotide ribosomal RNA is filed under the name uncultured bacterium. Its description in RNAcentral is "partial 16S ribosomal RNA". It matches the Rfam family "Bacterial small subunit ribosomal RNA", at positions 524 to 776 of the family's 1533-position model. The record is from RNAcentral.